CCCGGGCGCAGAUGCCGCAUCUGAAGAAGAUGGAGCGGGUGGUCGUGAGCAUGCAGGACCCCGACCAGGGCGUGAAGAUGCGGAGCCAGCGCCUGCUGGUCACCGUCAUUCCCCACGCGGUGACAGGUGAGGCGCGCCGGGGCGGGGGUGCGUGCGCGCCUCGGCCUCCCUCCACCUCUGUCUCUCCCGUGCAGGCAGCGACGUCGUGCAGUGGUUGGCCCAGAAGUUCUGCGUCUCGGAGGAGGGUGAGCGCCCUGCCUCCCACUGGGCCCUGGGGUCACUGGGCUGGUGGCCUAGGCCUGGGUUUUCCUGGAGUCUGGCAGUUCUCAGAGCCCUGCUGAGCGCGCUGUGCAAGGGUGGGGAGCACAUAGGGGAGAGGAGGCCCGGCUCGU
Molecule: long non-coding RNA, 392 nt
Filed under: Pan troglodytes (chimpanzee)
Lineage: Eukaryota; Metazoa; Chordata; Mammalia; Primates; Hominidae
Description: long non-coding RNA NONPTRT006145
Source: RNAcentral